Molecule: ribosomal RNA, 253 nt
Filed under: uncultured bacterium
Lineage: Bacteria
Description: partial 16S ribosomal RNA
Rfam family: Bacterial small subunit ribosomal RNA
Source: RNAcentral
GACAGAGGAUGCAAGCGUUAUCCGGAAUGAUUGGGCGUAAAGCGUCUGUAGGUGGCUUUUUAAGUCUGCCGUCAAAUCCCAGGGCUUAACCCUGGACAGGCGGUGGAAACUACCAAGCUGGAGUACGGUAGGGGCAGGGGGAAUUUCCGGUGGAGCGGUGAAAUGCGUAGAGAUCGGAAAGAACACCAACGGCGGAAGCACUCUGCUGGGCCGACACUGACACUGAGAGACGAAAGCUAGGGGAGCGAAUGGG